GCUCUCGUAGCUCAGUGGUAGAGCACUCCCUUGGUAAGGGAGAGGUCGUGCGUUCAAUCCGCAUCGAGAGCUCCA
Molecule: transfer RNA, 75 nt
Filed under: Bdellovibrionales bacterium
Lineage: Bacteria; Pseudomonadati; Bdellovibrionota; Bdellovibrionia; Bdellovibrionales
Description: tRNA-Thr
Rfam family: tRNA
About the family: Transfer RNA (tRNA) molecules are approximately 80 nucleotides in length. Their secondary structure includes four short double-helical elements and three loops (D, anti-codon, and T loops).
Source: RNAcentral